Molecule: ribosomal RNA, 66 nt
Filed under: Desmodesmus communis
Lineage: Eukaryota; Viridiplantae; Chlorophyta; Chlorophyceae; Sphaeropleales; Scenedesmaceae
Description: partial 28S ribosomal RNA
Rfam family: Eukaryotic large subunit ribosomal RNA
Source: RNAcentral
GUCGACCUGAGCUCGACAAGGCUACCCGCUGAACUUAAGCAUAUCAAUAAGCGGAGGAAAAGAAAC